UACGUAGGGUGCAAGCGUUAAUCGGAAUUACUGGGCGUAAAGCGUGCGCAGGCGGUGAUGUAAGACAGAUGUGAAAUCCCCGGGCUCAACCUGGGAACUGCAUUUGUGACUGCGUCGCUGGAGUGCGGCAGAGGGGGAUGGAAUUCCGCGUGUAGCAGUGAAAUGCGUAGAGAUGUGGAGGAAUACCGAUGGCGAAGGCAGCCCCCUGGGAUAACACUGAUGCUCAUGCACGAAAGCGUGGGGAGCAAACAGG
This 253-nucleotide ribosomal RNA is filed under the name uncultured bacterium. RNAcentral describes it as "partial 16S ribosomal RNA". It matches the Rfam family "Bacterial small subunit ribosomal RNA", at positions 524 to 776 of the family's 1533-position model. The record is from RNAcentral.